This 721-nucleotide ribosomal RNA is filed under the name Pseudomonas poae. RNAcentral's name for it is "bacterial SSU rRNA". It matches the Rfam family "Bacterial small subunit ribosomal RNA", at positions 71 to 785 of the family's 1533-position model. The record is from RNAcentral. Lineage: Bacteria; Pseudomonadati; Pseudomonadota; Gammaproteobacteria; Pseudomonadales; Pseudomonadaceae.
GAGAGAAGCUUGCUUCUCUUGAGAGCGGCGGACGGGUGAGUAAUGCCUAGGAAUCUGCCUGGUAGUGGGGGAUAACGUUCGGAAACGAACGCUAAUACCGCAUACGUCCUACGGGAGAAAGCAGGGGACCUUCGGGCCUUGCGCUAUCAGAUGAGCCUAGGUCGGAUUAGCUAGUUGGUGAGGUAAUGGCUCACCAAGGCGACGAUCCGUAACUGGUCUGAGAGGAUGAUCAGUCACACUGGAACUGAGACACGGUCCAGACUCCUACGGGAGGCAGCAGUGGGGAAUAUUGGACAAUGGGCGAAAGCCUGAUCCAGCCAUGCCGCGUGUGUGAAGAAGGUCUUCGGAUUGUAAAGCACUUUAAGUUGGGAGGAAGGGCAGUUACCUAAUACGUGAUUGUUUUGACGUUACCGACAGAAUAAGCACCGGCUAACUCUGUGCCAGCAGCCGCGGUAAUACAGAGGGUGCAAGCGUUAAUCGGAAUUACUGGGCGUAAAGCGCGCGUAGGUGGUUUGUUAAGUUGGAUGUGAAAUCCCCGGGCUCAACCUGGGAACUGCAUUCAAAACUGACUGACUAGAGUAUGGUAGAGGGUGGUGGAAUUUCCUGUGUAGCGGUGAAAUGCGUAGAUAUAGGAAGGAACACCAGUGGCGAAAGGCGACCACCUGGACUAAUUACUGACACUGAGGUGCGAAAGCGUGGGGAGCAAAACAGGAAUAGAUAC